This 159-nucleotide non-coding RNA is filed under the name Schistosoma margrebowiei. RNAcentral describes it as "Eukaryotic small subunit ribosomal RNA". It matches the Rfam family "Eukaryotic small subunit ribosomal RNA", at positions 1667 to 1823 of the family's 1831-position model. The record is from Rfam by way of RNAcentral. Lineage: Eukaryota; Metazoa; Platyhelminthes; Trematoda; Strigeidida; Schistosomatidae.
CACCGCUCAUCGCUACUACUGAUUGAAUGGUUUAGUGAAGUCGUUGAAUUAAUGUCGUUAUAGUGGCCUUGCCGCUCGAUUGAUUCUGAGAUGACCUAAUUUGAUUAUUCGGAGGAAGUAAAAGUCAUAACAAGAUUUCUGUAGGUGAACCUACGGAAA